AGAACUGUGCCAAGUUCCUCCUUGGAGAGGCAGCCAGAUGGACACCCAGAACUUUCCGUAUCUUCGUGUCGAGGAUGAAAAUCUGGUUAAAACAAAUGUAGACGUUGACAAGCACAAUCUACAAAAAGGAGAGAAAAGGAAAAGAAAUAACCUAUUGGUGGUCCUCAAAGGGAUGGAGACUGCAACUCUAUACAGAAAAGAAAAAGGCAAAUGCACCUCACAGAGAACUGGGACACUGUGAAUCAUCUACUUUUGAAUUCUUAAAAUUGGAAAUUAGAAACUUAUGAAGGAUUUGUAGCUAUGCUUGGGAAAUAGUGAAUUUAAAUCUAUCUGUCCGUCUAUGUGCUGUGCUUGGUCGUUCAGUCAUGUCUGACUCUUUGAGGCCCCGUGAACUGUAGCCCACUAGGUUCCUCUGCCCAUGGAAUUUCCCAGGCAAGAAUACUGGAGACGGAGGAUCUUCCCG
Molecule: long non-coding RNA, 463 nt
Organism: Bos taurus (domestic cattle)
Lineage: Eukaryota; Metazoa; Chordata; Mammalia; Artiodactyla; Bovidae
Source: Ensembl